This 429-nucleotide ribosomal RNA is filed under the name Chloroflexota bacterium. RNAcentral's name for it is "Chloroflexi bacterium partial 16S ribosomal RNA". It matches the Rfam family "Bacterial small subunit ribosomal RNA", at positions 355 to 776 of the family's 1533-position model. Lineage: Bacteria; Bacillati; Chloroflexota. The record is from RNAcentral.
UGGGGAAUAUUGCACAAUGGGCGCAAGCCUGAUGCAGCCAUGCCGCGUGUAUGAAGAAGGCCUUCGGGUUGUAAAGUACUUUCAGCGGGGAGGAAGGGAGUAAAGUUAAUACCUUUGCUCAUUGACGUUACCCGCAGAAGAGGCACCGGCUAACUCCGUGCCAGCAGCCGCGGUAAUACGGAGGGUGCAAGCGUUAAUCGGAAUUACUGGGCGUAAAGCGCACGCAGGCGGUUUGUUAAGUCAGAUGUGAAAUCCCCGGGCUCAACCUGGGAACUGCAUCUGAUACUGGCAAGCUUGAGUCUCGUAGAGGGGGGUAGAAUUCCAGGUGUAGCGGUGAAAUGCGUAGAGAUCUGGAGGAAUACCGGUGGCGAAGGCGGCCCCCUGGACGAAGACUGACGCUCAGGUGCGAAAGCGUGGGGAGCAAACAGG